This 856-nucleotide ribosomal RNA is filed under the name uncultured bacterium. RNAcentral describes it as "bacterial SSU rRNA". It matches the Rfam family "Bacterial small subunit ribosomal RNA", at positions 649 to 1503 of the family's 1533-position model. The record is from RNAcentral.
UAGAAGAGGACAGUGGGAACUCCAUGUGUAGCGGUGAAAUGCGUAGAUAUAUGGAAGAACACCAGUGGCGAAGGCGGCUGUCUGGUCUGUAACUGACGCUGAGGCUCGAAAGUAUGGGUAGCAAACAGGAUUAGAUACCCUGGUAGUCCAUACCGUAAACGAUGAAUGCUAAGUGUUGGAGGGUUUCCGCCCUUCAGUGCUGCAGCUAACGCAUUAAGCAUUCCGCCUGGGGAGUACGGCCGCAAGGCUGAAACUCAAAGGAAUUGACGGGGGCCCGCACAAGCGGUGGAGCAUGUGGUUUAAUUCGAAGCUACGCGAAGAACCUUACCAGGUCUUGACAUACUAUGCAAAUCUAAGAGAUUAGACGUUCCCUUCGGGGACAUGGAUACAGGUGGUGCAUGGUUGUCGUCAGCUCGUGUCGUGAGAUGUUGGGUUAAGUCCCGCAACGAGCGCAACCCUUAUUAUCAGUUGCCAGCAUUAAGUUGGGCACUCUGGUGAGACUGCCGGUGACAAACCGGAGGAAGGUGGGGAUGACGUCAAAUCAUCAUGCCCCUUAUGACCUGGGCUACACACGUGCUACAAUGGAUGGUACAACGAGUUGCGAACUCGCGAGAGUAAGCUAAUCUCUUAAAGCCAUUCUCAGUUCGGAUUGUAGGCUGCAACUCGCCUACAUGAAGUCGGAAUCGCUAGUAAUCGCGGAUCAGCAUGCCGCGGUGAAUACGUUCCCGGGCCUUGUACACACCACCCGUCACACCAUGAGAGUUUGUAACACCCAAAGUCGGUGGGGUAACCUUUUAGGAACCAGCCGCCUAAGGUGGGACAGAUGAUUAGGGUGAAGUCGUAACAAGGUAGCGUA